This 500-nucleotide ribosomal RNA is filed under the name uncultured bacterium. RNAcentral describes it as "partial 16S ribosomal RNA". It matches the Rfam family "Bacterial small subunit ribosomal RNA", at positions 30 to 523 of the family's 1533-position model. The record is from RNAcentral.
AUUGAACGCUGGCGGCAGGCCUAACACAUGCAAGUCGAGCGGAUGACGGGAGCUUGCUCCUUGAUUCAGCGGCGGACGGGUGAGUAAUGCCUAGGAAUCUGCCUGGUAGUGGGGGACAACGUUUCGAAAGGAACGCUAAUACCGCAUACGUCCUACGGGAGAAAGCAGGGGACCUUCGGGCCUUGCGCUAUCAGAUGAGCCUAGGUCGGAUUAGCUAGGUGGUGGGGUAAUGGCUCACCAAGGCGACGAUCCGUAACUGGUCUUAGAGGAUGAUCCGUCACACUGGAACGGGGACACGGUCCAGACUCCUGCGGGAGGCAGCAGUGGGGAAUAUUGGACGAUGGGCGAAAGCCUGAUCCAGCCAUGCCGCGUGUGUGAAGAAGGUCUUCGGAUUGUAAAGCACUUUAAGUUGGGAGGAAGGGCAGUAAGCUAAUACCUUGCUGUUUUGACGUUACCGACAGAAUAAGCACCGGCUAACUCUGUGCCAGCCGCCGCCGUAA